AACAUUUUGUUGUGCAGUCUGCCCUGCACUUGUAAACAGCUCCAAGGAAAUAACUUAUGAACUUGUUUUCGACACCUUCGGGUGCGUUUCAUGGUCGGAGACCUAAACUAAAGUUGUAGGCGACGUUCUAAACUUUAAGAAUGUCAAUUUCGUUUAGGGGUCGGACUAUUUUAAGUAAGCGGUUUCGAUAGCCGAAGUUGGCUAGAAACAUAAUUUUUGGUUAAGUUAAUAAUAGUUAGAAUGUUAUUAAUUCUUGCUAUUAUUAUAUUUGCGUAGAUCGGACAAGCGACUAUCGAAAAGGUUUGAGGCAAACUGAUCGAGAUAUCGUCAUAAUUAUUUGAAGAAUUUGGAUAGCAAGUGGGAUGGUAUGAUAUGAUUUGAAGAGUUAAGCUUCCGAAGUUUUAAUUCUCGGAAGUCAUUUGUAUAAGAAGAAAAAGAAGGUUUUCAUUCUAGCAGUCCGCAGUAGUCUAGAUAUUUUAACUAGAAUUUUGUAUAACGCGUUUUUAACUCUGAUAUUAUUUGUAAAUGGGGUCACAUGUAUUUUAAUAUAUGAAAUAUGUUUUGA
This is a long non-coding RNA of Mercurialis annua (annual mercury), 565 nucleotides long. RefSeq lists it as uncharacterized. The record is from RefSeq and is a predicted model, not a curated record. The transcript is spliced from 2 exons. Lineage: Eukaryota; Viridiplantae; Streptophyta; Magnoliopsida; Malpighiales; Euphorbiaceae.